GUUACAUUGACAACAAUGUGUUAACCCUUGAGGGCUCAGCCAAGUGCUAGUUCAUCAUUUUGCAGCAAGGUAUUCCCUGGAAAAUAUCCCAUCCUCUUCUACCCUCUGACUCCUCCAGCUCAACCAAGCUUCACUAUCAUCAUUGCUGCGUACAGUAUUAAAUUGUUUGUCUAAAACUUAUACUGUGUGUGUGUGUGUGUGUGUGUGUGUACUAUAUAUAGUCUAUAUAUAGUCUUUUGUCUGG
This is a long non-coding RNA of Dermochelys coriacea (leatherback sea turtle), 244 nucleotides long. RefSeq lists it as uncharacterized. The transcript is spliced from 2 exons. NCBI's taxonomy places the organism in Eukaryota, Metazoa, Chordata, Testudines, Dermochelyidae. The record is from RefSeq and is a predicted model, not a curated record.